ACGUCAUUAGCUCAGCAGGAAGAGUGGCAGCGAAAUUAUUCGUUGGCGGACUGGGGUUCGAUUCCUCGAUGACGUUCCA
This 79-nucleotide transfer RNA is filed under the name Serratia marcescens VGH107. Its description in RNAcentral is "tRNA-Phe". It matches the Rfam family "tRNA". Rfam says of the family: Transfer RNA (tRNA) molecules are approximately 80 nucleotides in length. Their secondary structure includes four short double-helical elements and three loops (D, anti-codon, and T loops). The record is from RNAcentral. Lineage: Bacteria; Pseudomonadati; Pseudomonadota; Gammaproteobacteria; Enterobacterales; Yersiniaceae.